AGCUGCACGCUGAAGACAUAGCGAACUAUUCUUUCGCCUUUUACUAAAGAAUACUGUGUGUUCUCCGCAAUUCAAGCGGCAUACGCCACUUUUUGUAGGGUGUUUCUCUAUAUUGUAACGU
Non-coding RNA from Erythranthe guttata (spotted monkey flower), 121 nucleotides. NCBI's taxonomy places the organism in Eukaryota, Viridiplantae, Streptophyta, Magnoliopsida, Lamiales, Phrymaceae. The record is from Rfam.